Molecule: unclassified non-coding RNA, 323 nt
Filed under: uncultured fungus
Lineage: Eukaryota; Fungi
Description: sequence contains ITS2
Rfam family: 5.8S ribosomal RNA (bases 1-52)
Source: RNAcentral
AACGCAUCUUGCACCCUUUGGUAUUCCGAAGGGUAUGCCUGUUUGAGUGUCUUUAACGAUAUCAACUCCGCCUGUGAGGGUGGAUGUUGGAGCUGAGUGCUGCCGUGAUCGUCUCACCGGCUCACUUGAAAAGCGUUUAAGCCUGGUCUUUGGCGGUCUGAAUCUGUCGGGGUUGGUGUGGUAGAACUCCCACGGGUUGUAAAUCACCUCUCGAUGACGGAUAUUGUGGGGACCCCUGGGGCCAAGUGCUUGAGAUUUGCGUCCACUUUGUGGAACUUCUUGAAUCGGACCUCAAAUCAGGUAGGACUACCCGCUGAACUUAA